GACGAACGCUGGCGGCGUGCUUAACACAUGCAAGUCGAACGGUAAGGCCCCAGCUUGCUGGGGUACACGAGUGGCGAACGGGUGAGUAACACGUGGGUGACCUGCCCCGCACUUCGGGAUAAGCCUGGGAAACUGGGUCUAAUACCGGAUAGGACCGCACCGUGAGGGUGUGGUGGAAAGUUUUUCGGUGUGGGAUGGGCCCGCGGCCUAUCAGCUUGUUGGUGGGGUAAUGGCCUACCAAGGCGGCGACGGGUAGCCGGCCUGAGAGGGUGGACGGCCACAUUGGGACUGAGACACGGCCCAGACUCCUACGGGAGGCAGCAGUGGGGAAUAUUGCACAAUGGGCGGAAGCCUGAUGCAGCGACGCCGCGUGGGGGAUGACGGCCUUCGGGUUGUGAACUCCUUUCACCAUCGACGAAGGUUUUCUGACGGUAGAUGGAGAAGAAGCACCGGCUAACUACGUG
RNAcentral lists this ribosomal RNA (464 nucleotides) under uncultured bacterium. RNAcentral describes it as "partial 16S ribosomal RNA". It matches the Rfam family "Bacterial small subunit ribosomal RNA", at positions 28 to 507 of the family's 1533-position model. The record is from RNAcentral.